RNAcentral lists this ribosomal RNA (1805 nucleotides) under human gut metagenome. RNAcentral's name for it is "bacterial LSU rRNA". It matches the Rfam family "Bacterial large subunit ribosomal RNA", at positions 630 to 2445 of the family's 2925-position model. The record is from RNAcentral.
CUCAUCACCAGCGAGGUUAAGUACUUCAGGUACGUAAGCCGAAGCGAAAGCGAGUCUGAAUAGGGCGUCAAGUUGGUGGUGGUAGACGCGAAACCUUAGUGAUCUACCCAUGGGCAGGGUGAAGGUUUGGUAACACAAACUGGAGGCCCGAACCGGUAAACGUUGAAAAGUUUUCGGAUGACCUGUGGGUAGGGGUGAAAGGCCAAUCAAACUGGGAAAUAGCUCGUACUCUCCGAAAUGCAUUUAGGUGCAGCCUCUGUUGUUUUGUUCUAGAGGUAGAGCUACUGAUUGGAUGCGAGGGCUUCACCGCCUAUCAAAUCCGGCCAAACUCCGAAUGCUAGAACAUGAAGACAGGGAGUGAGCCAGCGGGUGCUAAGGUCCGUUGACGAAAGAGGGAGAACUCAGACCAUCAGCUAAGGUCCCCAAUUGUAUGCUAAGUUGGAAUUAAAACGGGGUGGGACUGCUUAGACAGCUAGGAUGUUGGCUUGGAAGCAGCCAUUCAUUUAAAGAGUGCGUAACAGCUCACUAGUCGAGCGGUCCUGCAUGGAUAAUACGCGGGCAUAAGCAUAUAACCGAAGCUAUGGGAUUGUAGAUGAUACAAUCGGUAGGAGAGCAUUCCAUUCAGCAUAGAAGCAGUACCGUGAGGUAUUGUGGAGCGGAUGGAAAAGCAAAUGUAGGCAUAAGUAACGAUAAUGCGGGUGAGAACCCCGCACGCCGAAAGAUCAAGGAUUCCCCGGCAAUGUCAAUCAUCCGGGGGUAAGUCGGAUCCUAAGGGUAAGCCGAGUGGCGAUCCCGAUGGCAAACAGGUUAAUAUUCCUGUACUGAUCAUAACUGCGAUGCAGCGACGCAGAGGUGACACUGCUGCGUACUGACGGAAUAGUACGUUGAAACCCGUAUUCUUUGAUACCGGUAGUGAAGCACGCCGGUAGAGAUGAAAGGUGAUAGUACCGCAAUGCUUCGGUUGCGCGGAUAACGCAGGUAAGCUGACUGCCAAGAAAACCUGCUAAGCUUCAGGUAAUGAUCAUCCGUACUGUAAACGGACACACGUGAUCAGGUAGAAAAUACUAAGGCGUCGAGAGAUUCAUGGUUAAGGAACUAGGCAAAAUGGUCCUGUAACUUCGGGAUAAAGGACGCUCUUGUGAAAGAGCCGCAGAUAAUAGGCCCAGGCGACUGUUUACCAAAAACACAUGGCUAUGCUAAUUCGCAAGAAGAUGUAUAUGGCCUGACACCUGCCCGGUGCCGGAAGGUUAAGAGGAGAGCUCAGAGCAACUCGAAGGUUUGAAUUGAAGCCCCGGUAAACGGCGGCCGUAACUAUAACGGUCCUAAGGUAGCGAAAUUCCUUGUCGGGUAAGUUCCGACCUGCACGAAUGGUGUAACGAUCUGGGUACUGUCUCAACCAUGAGCUCGGUGAAAUUGUAGUUCCGGUGAAGAUGCCGGAUACCCGCAACGGGACGGAAAGACCCCGUGAACCUUUACUACAGCUUUGCAUUGAUUUUGGGUAACAGAUGUGUAGGAUAGGUCGGAGGCUUUGAUGCUGCGUCGUCAGGCGUAGAGUAGCCGUCGUUGAAAUACGACCCUUUUGUUAUCUGAGGUCUAAUCCCGUUAGGGAGACAUUGCAUGGUGGGUAGUUUGACUGGGGUGGUCGCCUCCAAAAGUGUAACGGAGGCUUCUCAAGGUACCCUCAAGGCGUUUGGUAAUCGUCUGCAGAGUGCAAUGGCAUAAGGGUGCUUGACUGUGAGACCGACACGUCGAUCAGGUUGGAAACAAGAGCAUAGUGAUCCGGUGGUUCCGCAUGGAAGGGCCAU